Molecule: non-coding RNA, 30 nt
Filed under: Mus musculus (house mouse)
Lineage: Eukaryota; Metazoa; Chordata; Mammalia; Rodentia; Muridae
Source: RNAcentral
UCUUGAGCCAUGUUUUUCUUUCGGGUGUUA